UGAGACCGAAAGCAUAAAUUGGGCCUUGUGUAUGCCAAUCCACCCGGCCUCUGGCUUGUCUGUCUCAUAACAGCCUAUUCGGUUGCUUUCGCAAAUGAAAGCAAGCACUACCAGGCAGGCACCAGCCGACAGACUGGCCAAACUUCUGUGAUUAAUUCGAACAAGAUAUUUUUCUUUUUUUUUCUCCAUUGAUAUGGUGGGAAGCGGUAAUGAUGGACAACUUUGCUCAUAUUGGAGGAUUUCUUUCUGGCUUCUUCCUUGGAUUUGUGUUUUUAAUCUGCCCCUGGUUUGGACGGGUUAACCAAAAGAGCUGUCCUCCAGGAUACAUUGCACCUCCAGCUAAAAUCUAAGCACAAGGCAUACCAUUACGUGCUGUGGGUUAUGUCACUGAUUCUUUUAAUUGUUGGUCGAGUGAACUUGAGAGUCAACUGAACUUGACAUGCAAAAGCUACGAGAAAAGCAACAUGUAUAUGCUGUCAGAACAUAGCUCGUCCCAGGUUGAGCAACUAUGUUCUCAGCUGCCAUAUGACAGCUGUAAAUGAUACAUAUUGUUCUGUAGAGAGCAUUCUUCUUUGUCACAAGGUAAUCUUAACUUUCAUUCCUUCAGAAAUUAUUUUGUACACCUUGAUCUUGAGGAUUUUUAUAAGGACAAUAAGUCAUCAGCUU
This is a long non-coding RNA of Tripterygium wilfordii, 666 nucleotides long. RefSeq lists it as uncharacterized. The record is from RefSeq and is a predicted model, not a curated record. The transcript is spliced from 2 exons. NCBI's taxonomy places the organism in Eukaryota, Viridiplantae, Streptophyta, Magnoliopsida, Celastrales, Celastraceae.